Molecule: ribosomal RNA, 440 nt
Filed under: uncultured bacterium
Lineage: Bacteria
Description: partial 16S ribosomal RNA
Rfam family: Bacterial small subunit ribosomal RNA
Source: RNAcentral
CCUACGGGAGGCAGCAGUAGGGAAUCUUCCACAAUGGGGGAAACCCUGAUGCAGCAACGCCGCGUGAGUGAAGAAGUGUUUCGGUACGUAAAGCUCUGUCAGCAGGGAAGAAAGUGACGGGAACUGACUAAGAAGCCCCGGCUGACUACGUGCCAGCAACCGCGGUAAUACGUAGGGGGCAAGCGUUAUCCGGAUUUACUGGGUGAAAAGGGAGCGGAGACGGCUGCGCAAGUCUGAAGUGAAAUCCCAUGGCUUAACCAUGGAACUGCUUUGGAAACUGUGCAGCUGGAGUGCAGGAGAGGUGAGCGGAACUCCUAGUGUAGCGGUGGAAUGCGUAGAUAUUAGGAGGAACACCAGUGGCGAAGGCGGCUCACUGGACUGUAACUGACGUUGAGGCUCGAAAGCGUGGGGAGCAAACAGGAUUAGAUACCCCAGUAGUC